AGUAGCACGCUCAAGACCCGAAGCGGAGUGAUCUAGCCAUGGGCAGGUUGAAGCGGAGGUAAGACUUCGUGGAGGACCGAACCCACCAGGGUUGAAAACCUGGGGGAUGACCUGUGGUUAGGGGUGAAAGGCCAAUCAAACUCCGUGAUAGCUGGUUCUCCCCGAAAUGCAUUUAGGUGCAGCGUCGUGUGUUUCUUGCCGGAGGUAGAGCACUGGAUAGGCGAUGGGCCCUACCGGGUUACUGACCUUAGCCAAACUCCGAAUGCCGGUAAGUGAGAGCGCGGCAGUGAGACUGUGGGGGAUAAGCUCCAUGGUCGAGAGGGAAACAGCCCAGAGCAUCGACUAAGGCCCCUAAGCGUACGCUAAGUGGGAAAGGAUGUGGAGUCGCACAGACAACCAGGAGGUUGGCUUAGAAGCAGCCACCCUUGAAAGAGUGCGUAAUAGCUCACUGGUCUAGUGAUUCCGCGCCGACAAUGUAGCGGGGCUCAAGCGUAGGAAGCGAGUUGUGGACGGUUCACGAGUGAGAAUGCAGGCAUGAGUAGCGAUACAAACGUGAGAAACGUUUGCGCCGAUUGACUAAGGGUUCCUGGGUCAAGCUGAUCUGCCCAGGGUAAGUCGGGACCUAAGGCGAGGCCGACAGGCGUAGUCGAUGGAUAACCGGUUGAUAUUCCGGUACCCGCUGUGAAGCGUCAAACAUCGAGCAUCGUGAUGCUAAGGCCGUGAAGCCGCCCUGAUCUCUUCGGAGUUGAGGGGAGUGGUGGAGCCGCUGAACCAAGCGGUUAGUAGGUGAGUGAUGGGGUGACGCAGGAAGGUAGUCCAUCCCGGGCGGUGGUUGUCCCGGGGUAAGGGUGUAGGACGUUGGGUAGGUAAAUCCGCCUGACAUUAAGUCUGAGACCUGAUGCCGAGCCGAUUGUGGUGAAGUGGAUGAUCCUAUGCUGUCGAGAAAAGCCUCUAGCGAGUUUCAUGGCGGCCCGUACCCUAAACCGACUCAGGUGGUCAGGUAGAGAAUACCGAGGCGUUCGGGUGAACUAUGGUUAAGGAACUCGGCAAAAUGCCCCCGUAACUUCGGGAGAAGGGGGGCCACUUCUGGUGACCGGAUUUACUCCGUGAGCUGGGGGUGGCCGCAGAGACCAGCGAGAAGCGACUGUUUACUAAAAACACAGGUCCGUGCGAAGCCGUAAGGCGAUGUAUACGGACUGACGCCUGCCCGGUGCUGGAACGUUAAGGGGACCGGUUAGCUCCAUUUCGGUGGGGCGAAGCUGAGAACUUAAGCGCCAGUAAACGGCGGUGGUAACUAUAACCAUCCUAAGGUAGCGAAAUUCCUUGUCGGGUAAGUUCCGACCUGCACGAAUGGCGUAACGACUUCUUGACUGUCUCAACCAUAGGCCCGGUGAAAUUGCACUACGAGUAAAGAUGCUCGUUUCGCGCAGCAGGACGGAAAGACCCCGGGACCUUUACUACAGUUUGAUAUUGGUGUUCGGUUCGGCUUGUGUAGGAUAGCUGGGAGACUUUGAAGCUCGCACGCCAGUGUGGGUGGAGUCGUCGUUGAAAUACCAGUCUGGUCGUGCUGGAUGUCUAACCUGGGUCCGUGAUCCGGAUCAGGGACAGUGUCUGAUGGGUAGUUUAACUGGGGCGGUUGCCUCCUAAAGAGUAACGGAGGCGCCCAAAGGUUCCCUCAGCCUGGUUGGCAAUCAGGUGUUGAGUGUAAGUGCACAAGGGAGCUUGACUGUGAGACCGACGGGUCGAGCAGGGACGAAAGUCGGGACUAGUGAUCCGGCGGUGGCUUGUGGAAGCGCCGUCGCUCAACGGAUAAAAGGUACCCCGGGGAUAACAGGCUGAUCUUCCCCAAGAGUCCAUAUCGACGGGAUGGUUUGGCACCUCGAUGUCGGCUCGUCGCAUCCUGGGGCUGGAGUCGGUCCCAAGGGUUGGGCUGUUCGCCCAUUAAAGCGGUACGCGAGCUGGGUUUAGAACGUCGUGAGACAGUUCGGUCCCUAUCCGCUGUGCGCGUAGGAGUCUUGAGAAGGGCUGUCCCUAGUACGAGAGGACCGGGACGGACGAACCUCUGGUGUGCCAGUUGUCCUGCCAAGGGCAUGGCUGGUUGGCUACGUUCGGGAGGGAUAACCGCUGAAAGCAUCUAAGCGGGAAGCCUGCUUCGAGAUGAGGACUCCCACCCCCUUGAGGGGUUAAGGCUCCCAGUAGACGACUGGGUUGAUAGGCCGGAUCUGGAAGCACCGUGAGGUGUGGAGGUGACCGGUACUAAUAGGCCGAGGGCUUGUCCUC
Molecule: ribosomal RNA, 2280 nt
Filed under: Streptomyces olivaceus
Lineage: Bacteria; Bacillati; Actinomycetota; Actinomycetes; Kitasatosporales; Streptomycetaceae
Description: partial 23S ribosomal RNA
Rfam family: Bacterial large subunit ribosomal RNA
Source: RNAcentral